Molecule: long non-coding RNA, 1998 nt
Organism: Capra hircus (goat)
Lineage: Eukaryota; Metazoa; Chordata; Mammalia; Artiodactyla; Bovidae
Exons: 2
Source: RefSeq, a predicted model, not a curated record
CUGUCUGUUAUAGGAAAUUAAUAAAUAUUUAAGGACCUUGGUGCUCAACAAAACUACUCAUCAUCAGGAAAAUGCAAAUCAAAACCACAAUGAGAUACCACCUGGCACCUGUCAGAAUCGCCAUCCUCAAAAAGACCUUUUCCUGUGUGUCUAUACCCACGUGCACAUGUGCAUACUGACAGAAACAGCGUUUUAAAACCAGGUAUAAAUCACAUCACAUUAUACAUAAUGCGGGCGACCCGGUGCUUCUCUUCGUAACUCUUGCGCGCUUUCUGCCUCCUUCCCUUAAACAGCUCAACUACAUGACGGGACACUUCCACCGCGGCCCUUCCCAGAUGAACUGCCCCCCACUGUCACCCACCAGGAGCUGCACUGGCGCAGCCCUCUGUGCACUUUCGAUCCGGUCAGAUGCCACCAAAGUGCCCUCUAAAAAGGGCACACCAGUGUACACAUCCAGCAUGGGGGGAAGAGAGGGCUCAUUGCACACGUCCCCACAAAUACUUGUUGCUCAAGUCAACACACGAUGGGAUGCCCAGCACCACGGACCAAGCAACUUCUCGAGGAUGCGGAAUCUUAAAACACUCAUUUGAAGAUAAAACUGUGGUCCUGAGAAUUUAGCAGAGGACCAAAACAGAUAAAGUGACAGUCUUCUCUGCAGAUAAUUAUCUAUUUUUUAAAUGCCUCAUUUAAGAAAGUAUCUUUAUAUCUGGAUUAUGCUCAAAGUAAGUUGAUCUAAACAUCAGGGUUACAUUUUAUUUAUGGGAAGUCCAAGGUAUACAAGUUAAGCAAAUGUACUCUUACAGUUAAAAUGAGAUGAUUUUUUUCCUUAGAUUAUAGUAGUGGCAUUUAAAAUUUUUAAUAGGCAAGAAUUAGAAAAAGCAUUAACAAGAUAAAUAUGAAAAUAUCUCCCAACUUCCAUUUUGGUAAAAAUGGUGUAACCAUUCAAAAUCAAUCAAGGUCUUUCUUCCAACAUGUCGGACAGCGGGGAGUGGGUGCUAUUCUGGUCAAUGGGCAGUGGUUUGUUCUGGAAACAGCUGGACGCUGGCUGUGUCUCCUGCCUUGUGUGUAAAGGAGAGAGGGGCACAGGAUAAAGAGGGCAGAGAGCAAGGAGUGCAAGCACACGGGCGGCAGCGUUACUCCAGGAGGCCCAAGACAGCCUACAGGGAGGUGGGCACCGCGAAUACGGCCAGGCGUCAAGCCUGACACAAAGCUGUUUCUCUCUGAUGUUACACAGAAGUGGCGAACUUCAGGCAAGGGCACAGGAGGCGGGAAGGAAUUCUGCAGCUGCCAGGAACAGCAAGGCAUCACUCCCACCACGGAUCUCUGGAACCUGCAGCUCAGAAGCCAUCAGGCCUGAGACACGCGUCGGUCUUCACUACAAAGUAAGCUCUCAAAGGACACGGAUCUCUGAUCGUCUACUGAUUCCCCCAAACCACCUGGAACAGUGCGAGGUACUCAAUGAACAGCCCUUGGAAGAAGCGCACGUCAAAGCAACGGCGUGAAGCUAGGAGGCCCUGUGAUAGCGUCCCGAAGCAAGGGACCCGCGCACGGCUGAGAAAAACAAGCACCUUUAUUAUCCACUAAGAACCGCGUAUUCAUGUACUGGCUGCACUGUGCGGCACGCAGGAUCCCAGCUCCCUGACCAGGGGUCGAACCCACACCCCCUGCAGCGGGGGCGCAGAGCCCCAGCCACUGGGCCACCAGGGUAUCGCCAGGAGUCACUUCUUAGAAGGCUCGUUUCUAGGCAACCUUGGUAUUUCCUUCCCCCUUUCUUUCCCGAGGUUGCGCCUCAAGCUCUGGGAUAGGAGGACCCUUUCUUCCUGGAGCCCGAAGCCCUGCUGAGGGCCCAGAGACACUUGCCGGCUGCCUCUCCACUUCGCUAACCACUGCAGGACCACAGAUUAACUCUUUGUAUUGCAAAAGACACCUGUAGCUAACAGUGUACGUUACAACGAAACAAAAUCAGCAGAAAAACCUAACAAAACUAUUUUGAGUGAA